GCGCCUCCUGUGCGCGCCCUUGGUCCUCAGCAACCCCAACUGAGCUUGGAUCAGAGCUGGUGACAGGGGUUGAGCAGUGCGAGCCCCCUUCCUGGGGAGCCACGGACAGCCGACGACCAGGUUUCUUGCUCCACACUUUAAGACACACUUUAAGAGGUUGUUUUUUGUUGUUGUUGUUGUUGUUGUUGUUGUUUUCAGGACUGAGUUGUAAAUCUUCAUUUGACAUUGGACUACUUUAUGGCUGUGCCCUAGCUAAUGCCUUAGCCUCUGCCUUGGUCAGGAAGGGCCCCAGAAUCUGCACGCCUCCCUUUGAUACAAGAUACUUCAACAUGGCCAGUGGGACAGUUCAGUCAGUUCACACCCGAGGGACUCUCCCCAAGUUUAGUACCCAAAUCUAGUCUUCGCCUUCUGGGUUCCUUCUGGUCUCUGCUCCAAAAUCAAGAACUACAAUCUCUGGUCUGAGAGAUGGCUCAAGGAUUAAGACACUGACUACUCUUCCAGAGGACCCCGUUCCAACUCCCAGCCCCCCAGAUGAGGGCUCACAACCAAUCUGUGACCCCUGUGAAAGGGUUGUUCAACAUUCCUCAAGGAGUUCGGGACCCACGGGCUGAGAACCACUGACCUAAAGGAAUCACCACCUUCUCAGAAAGAUGUCCUCAGCUUUUAUUGUGCAGAACACACAGACUGAGCCCCUAACACAGACUCACCAGUACCUUUGGCUGUCUUCUUCAACACGUGAAUGCUAUGCCCGGCGGCGGCGGCGCUUACAUCCAAGAAAUGGACAACUGGCCAGGCCCUUCAAUACCAGCAGUUGGAAGCAGAGGAAGGCCAAUUUUGGUGAAUUCGGGACUAACCUGGGCUACACAGUGAGACCCGUCUCGAGAAAAUCAAUAAAGGACGCUAACAAGCGAGGCCCUGGAGAGACGGCCCAUCCGGUAAGAGCGAGCCCUCGCAGAAGCCCCGAGCUCAAUCUCAGCCCCCGUGUUGGAACUCCACCUUCAGCGGGUGCCACACUCGUGUGUACAUAUCCACACGCAAACACCUAGACACCUGUACACAAUUUAAAAUGGAGGGGAAAAAAAUCUCUAAGUAACUUAGGAGAUCGUUCUGGAAUACUUAGUAAAAUAAAGACAUCUGCCUUGGCAGGCCUUAACCAAUCUUACUGAUGCCUUAGAAGAGAUGAAGGCGAAAUGAGGAGGGGAGGCAGGGUGUGUGUUUCCCUUCUGUGUGAGAGAACGGAGGGAGAGAGCAGCCUUGGAGUCAAUGAGAGAAGGCUCCAAAGAAACCAACCCCACUGACCCUUUGACCUUGAAUGCUCACCCUCCAGUCCCCUGGGACCAUCAAUGUCUGUGUGUUUACCCCACUCCCGGUCUGUGGGGUUUGUCAUGAUAGCCCAAGGAAACUAACUUGGUGGAAAUAUUUACGAA
Molecule: long non-coding RNA, 1427 nt
Organism: Apodemus sylvaticus (European woodmouse)
Lineage: Eukaryota; Metazoa; Chordata; Mammalia; Rodentia; Muridae
Exons: 3
Source: RefSeq, a predicted model, not a curated record